RNAcentral lists this ribosomal RNA (703 nucleotides) under uncultured bacterium. RNAcentral describes it as "bacterial SSU rRNA". It matches the Rfam family "Bacterial small subunit ribosomal RNA", at positions 78 to 777 of the family's 1533-position model. The record is from RNAcentral.
UGCUGAUUUGCUGACGAGUGGCGGACGGGUGAGUAAUGUCUGGGAAACUGCCUGAUGGAGGGGGAUAACUACUGGAAACGGUAGCUAAUACCGCAUAACGUCGCAAGACCAAAGAGGGGGACCUUCGGGCCUCUUGCCAUCGGAUGUGCCCAGAUGGGAUUAGCUAGUAGGUGGGGUAACGGCUCACCUAGGCGACGAUCCCUAGCUGGUCUGAGAGGAUGACCAGCCACACUGGAACUGAGACACGGUCCAGACUCCUACGGGAGGCAGCAGUGGGGAAUAUUGCACAAUGGGCGCAAGCCUGAUGCAGCCAUGCCGCGUGUAUGAAGAAGGCCUUCGGGUUGUAAAGUACUUUCAGCGGGGAGGAAGGGAGUAAAGUUAAUACCUUUGCUCAUUGACGUUACCCGCAGAAGAAGCACCGGCUAACUCCGUGCCAGCAGCCGCGGUAAUACGGAGGGUGCAAGCGUUAAUCGGAAUUACUGGGCGUAAAGCGCACGCAGGCGGUUUGUUAAGUCAGAUGUGAAAUCCCCGGGCUCAACCUGGGAACUGCAUCUGAUACUGGCAAGCUUGAGUCUCGUAGAGGGGGGUAGAAUUCCAGGUGUAGCGGUGAAAUGCGUAGAGAUCUGGAGGAAUACCGGUGGCGAAGGCGGCCCCCUGGACGAAGACUGACGCUCAGGUGCGAAAGCGUGGGGAGCAAACAGGA